Molecule: transfer RNA, 77 nt
Filed under: Saprospira grandis
Lineage: Bacteria; Pseudomonadati; Bacteroidota; Saprospiria; Saprospirales; Saprospiraceae
Also listed under: 4 other names
Description: tRNA-Thr
Rfam family: tRNA
About the family: Transfer RNA (tRNA) molecules are approximately 80 nucleotides in length. Their secondary structure includes four short double-helical elements and three loops (D, anti-codon, and T loops).
Source: RNAcentral
GCCGGCAUAGCUCAGUUGGCCAGAGCACGUGAUUUGUAAUCUCGGGGUCGUGGGUUCGAAUCCCUCUGCCGGCUCCA